RNAcentral lists this long non-coding RNA (1291 nucleotides) under Anas platyrhynchos platyrhynchos (common mallard). Its description in RNAcentral is "lncRNA (ENSAPLG00000021959.1)". Lineage: Eukaryota; Metazoa; Chordata; Aves; Anseriformes; Anatidae. The record is from RNAcentral.
GUGGGCACCCUGAGCCAGGCUGGGGACACGGGGUGCCAGCCCAAGGAGGACGAGCAGAGCCUGCCCGACCCCUAGGUAAAGGGAUUGGGGUCGCCCAGGUGCCCGCCUGGGUCCCCUCCUGGGUCCCUUCUUGGGUCCCCUCCUGCCCUGACGCUGCGUCCCCAGCCGAGCCGGGUUCUCCUGGGGAAACUGAGGCAGGGGGAGCCCAAUCCCCCCGUUCCCAUCCCACCUUCUCCACCCCGAUGGCCCCCAGCCCUGUCCCACCUGUCCCACGUCCCUGUCCCCAUCCCGCCCCCCAAGACAUUAAACAGCGACCUUGAGACAAUGCUCCUUGUUCUGCGGUGUCCUGCAGCGUCCCCGGGUCACACAGUGCCAGGCGCCUGUCCCACGGCCGUGCCUUCCCAGCCCCUCUCUGUCCCCUGCCCACCCCCAUCCGGACCAGCCCCGUCUCCACGGGACCACCCCCCAGGUGCCACCACGGUGCCACCUCUGCGUGACGCUGAGCCCGAGGACCUGCAGGGGCUGCAGGUGGCACCAAGGGGCCCUGAUGGCACGGGGACACUUGGUGCAAGGGGACAUGGGGUAUGGGGACACCUGGCAUGGGGAGGUUGGAAUUUUGGGAUGGGGAUGGUCACCUGGCAAGGGGACACCUGGCAUGGGGCACAUGGCACAGGGUCACUCACUAUGGGGACACAUGGCAAGGGGACGUGGUAUGGGGACACCUGGCAUGGGGACACUGGGGAUGGGGACACCUGGCGUGGGGAAUUUUGGGAUGGAGAUGCCUGGCAUGGGGACACCUGGCAAGGGGACACCUGGCAAGGGGACACAUGGCAUGGGGACACUUGGUACAGGGUUAUCUGCUAUGGGGACACACGGCAAGGGGACACUUGGCAUGCGGGCGCACGGCAAGGAGACGUGGUAUGGGGACACCUGGCAUGGGGAAUCUUGGCACGGGGACACCUGGCAUGGGGACACGUGGCACAGGGUCACCCGCUAGGGGGUCACACGGAUAGGGGACACCUGGCAUGGGGACACCAGGCGUGGGAGGGAGAUGCUUGGCAUGGGGACACCGGGCGUGGGGACAUUUGGUGCGGGGUCACCUGCUAUGGGGUCACAGGGGUGGGGAACACCGGGCAUGGGGACAUGGGGCAUGGGGUCACCAACUAUGGGGUCACAGGGGUAGGGGACACAGGGCAUGGGGUCACCAACUAUGGGGUCACAGGGGUAGGGGACACAGGGCAUGGGGUCACCAACUAUGGGGUCGCACGGGUGGGGGACACUUGGCACGGGG